This 62-nucleotide transfer RNA is filed under the name Salmo salar (Atlantic salmon). It matches the Rfam family "tRNA", at positions 8 to 63 of the family's 71-position model. Rfam says of the family: Transfer RNA (tRNA) molecules are approximately 80 nucleotides in length. The record is from Rfam by way of RNAcentral. Lineage: Eukaryota; Metazoa; Chordata; Actinopteri; Salmoniformes; Salmonidae.
UAGCUCAGUUGGUAGAGAGAGCAUGGUGCUUGCAAUGCUAGGGUUGUGGGUUUGAUUCCCAU